CUACAAUGUUAUGGCAAUGUAAUGUUAUGAUCAUACAAUGUUAUGGCAAUGUAAUGUUAUGAUCAUACAAUGUUAUGGUAAUGUAAUGUUAUGAUCAUACAAUGUUAUGGCAAUGUAAUGUUAUGAUCAUACAAUGUUAUGGCAAUGUAAUGUUAUGAUCAUACAAUGUAAGGUAAUGUAAUGUUAUGAUCAUACAAUGUUAUGGUAAUGUAAUGUUAUGAUCAUACAAUGUUAUGGCA
This is a long non-coding RNA of Hydractinia symbiolongicarpus, 239 nucleotides long. RefSeq lists it as uncharacterized. NCBI's taxonomy places the organism in Eukaryota, Metazoa, Cnidaria, Hydrozoa, Anthoathecata, Hydractiniidae. The transcript has 2 exons. The record is from RefSeq and is a predicted model, not a curated record.